UGUGAUUUCUCUGUAUUAAUCUCUAUAUAAGAAAUUGUUAUUUUGUGGAUUUUAAAUAAAGUUUUUUGUUUUUCUUGACAGGCACUAUUUCAUGGAAAGUUUAUUGAUACUGGUUUCUCUUUACCAUUCUACAAGCGUAUGCUAAGUAAAAAACUUACUAUUAAGGAUUUGGAAUCUAUUGACACUGAAUUUUAUAACUCCCUUAUCUGGAUAAGAGACAACAACAUCGAAGAAUGUGGCUUAGAAAUGUACUUUUCUGUUGACAUGGAGAUUUUGGGAAAAGUUACUUCACAUGACCUGAAGUUGGGAGGUUCCAAUAUCCUGGUCACUGAGG
Molecule: non-coding RNA, 334 nt
Organism: Microcebus murinus (gray mouse lemur)
Lineage: Eukaryota; Metazoa; Chordata; Mammalia; Primates; Cheirogaleidae
Source: RefSeq, a predicted model, not a curated record